UAGGGAAUCUUCCACAAUGGACGCAAGUCUGAUGGAGCAACGCCGCGUGAGUGAAGAAGGUUUCCGGAUCUUAAAGCUCUGUUGUUGGUGAAGAAGGAUAGAGGCAGUAACUGGUCUUUAUUUGUCGGUAAUCAACCAGAAAGUCACGGCUAACUACUUGCCAGCAGCCGCGGUAAUACGUAGGUGGCAAGCGUUGUCCGGAUUUAUUGGGCGUAAAGCGAGCGCAGGCCGAAUGAUAAGUCUGCUGUGAAAGCCCACGGCUCAACCGUGGAACUGCAUCGGAAACUGUCAUUCUUGAGUGCAGAAGAGGAGAGUGGAAUUCCAUGUGUAGCGGUGGAAUGCGUAGAUAUAUGGAAGAACACCAGUGGAGAAGGCGGCUCUUUGGUCUGCAACUGACGCUGAGGCUCGAAAGCAUGGGUAGCGAACAGG
This 429-nucleotide ribosomal RNA is filed under the name Bacillota bacterium. RNAcentral's name for it is "Firmicutes bacterium partial 16S ribosomal RNA". It matches the Rfam family "Bacterial small subunit ribosomal RNA", at positions 355 to 776 of the family's 1533-position model. The record is from RNAcentral. Lineage: Bacteria; Bacillati; Bacillota.